This 312-nucleotide long non-coding RNA is filed under the name Sorghum bicolor (sorghum). Its description in RNAcentral is "long non-coding RNA (SBIC_LNC018221)". Lineage: Eukaryota; Viridiplantae; Streptophyta; Magnoliopsida; Poales; Poaceae. The record is from RNAcentral.
AACUAUAUAGGGAUCGAUAGAAUCAAAUUUCAAGCCAAAAAGCUUAGUCCGUAAAGUAAAUUUCAAUUCUUCCAAAAUAAAAGAACCUAAACACGCCCGAGAAAACAAAUUUACAAGUCACAAGCCACAGGGAUGAACAGCAACACCUCUCGGAAGCCUAGCCAGUUGUCCUCCUUCCCUGGCUCCCUGCACCAGAACGCCUGCGAAAGCUACAUAGGCUAUUACAGAGAUAAGAGGGGUAAGAACGACGCUGAAAACUGACUCAAGCAUCCAACCGACUCAUGAGCAUGGCGAGGUCUAAGUUCCCAGCCA